CAGGCAGGGUGGAUAAUCGCGGCUGCAGGUGUCGAAAGACCGCAGGUGAGGAAAGUCCGGGCUUCACAGGGCAGGAUGCCGGUUAACGGCCGGCGGAGGCAACUCCAGGGACAGUGCAACAGAAAUGUACCGCUGUCAGAUCUGACAGUAAGGGUGGAAGGGCAGUGUAAGAGACUACCGCCCGGCUGGUAACAGCCGGGGCACAUGUAAACCCCAUUCGAAGCAAGACCGAACAGGAAGCGUUGACGUGGCCCGCCAGCUUCAGGUAGGUCGCAUGAGCUGACUGGCGACAGUCAGACCAGAUAGAUGAUUAUCCACGACAUAACCCGGCUUACAGCCCUGCCUGGCCC
This 350-nucleotide RNase P RNA is filed under the name Eubacterium sp. 14-2. Its description in RNAcentral is "Bacterial RNase P class A". It matches the Rfam family "Bacterial RNase P class A". Rfam says of the family: Ribonuclease P (RNase P) is a ubiquitous endoribonuclease, found in archaea, bacteria and eukarya as well as chloroplasts and mitochondria. Its best characterised activity is the generation of mature 5'-ends of tRNAs by cleaving the 5'-leader elements of precursor-tRNAs. Cellular RNase Ps are ribonucleoproteins. The record is from Rfam by way of RNAcentral. Lineage: Bacteria; Bacillati; Bacillota; Clostridia; Eubacteriales; Eubacteriaceae.